CACGGGACACCUGCAUCUGCCAACAAGACUGGAAGCAGAAAGGGACAGAGACGGCGAAGUUUGACGGUCUGGAAAGCAGAGACCAGCAGGGCUGACUGCUUGGGAGCACCAAAUAUCCGGACAGCGCCUCUCGGGAGGUCCGAGAAGAGAACCGCGAUCUGUUUCAGCACCGGGGCUCAGGACAGUUCCCAGCGGGCUCCGUUUCGUCUCCAGAACCCUGGACAGCUCCUCCAGACUUCGGUGAGAAACCUUGUGCCAAGCAUUUUACAUACAUCAUAUCAUGCCAUCUUCAACCCUAGGACAUGGGUGUUACUGUGCCCAUGUGACAUUUGGGGAACCCAAGGCCCUGAGAAAGGCAGAAAAAUAACCCACGCAGGGACUCUCAGCCCACAAGUGAAGCUGAGAACCGGGAAUGGAAAACAGGGAGGCAGCACAGAGGCAGGAAACUCAGGUGUCAUAGCUUGGCUCAGCUUGGAAUGCACUCCCUCCACCUCCAACCAGAGCUCCCCACAACUGACCCUGCCUUCUUCUGCAAGCUCCAUUUCAUCAAGGGAAACGAUCCUUAUUGCCUCACCAUUUCCCACGUGAAGUCUGUAUUGACAUUCUCAUAGACCUGGGAUAUUGUGUCUGCAGCACAUAGUCCAAUUAUUUUCAUGUUAUCUACUGACAGGUCUAUUUGUCUCCCUGUUACACUGUGAGCUCCGUGAGGGCAGAAACAAUGUUAGUAUUUUCACUGCUGUGUCCCCAGCGCCUGGUCCGGGGCCCGGCACACAGCAGGCAUAUAAUAAGCAUGUGUUGAAUCAAUAAAGGCAUCAAAGAAUAAACCAAUACAUCAAUCAAUAAAUGAAUGAAUGGCCUCAGCA
This 863-nucleotide long non-coding RNA is filed under the name Homo sapiens (human). RNAcentral's name for it is "HSALNT0395841". Lineage: Eukaryota; Metazoa; Chordata; Mammalia; Primates; Hominidae. The record is from RNAcentral.